UGGACUAAGUGGAGAAGUGGUCUUGUCACUUUGAAUUAAAGUGAGAUUCAACUUCUCCAACUUAUUUCA
Molecule: microRNA precursor, 69 nt
Organism: Orchesella cincta
Lineage: Eukaryota; Metazoa; Arthropoda; Collembola; Entomobryomorpha; Orchesellidae
Rfam family: mir-1175 microRNA precursor family
Source: Rfam